Molecule: long non-coding RNA, 573 nt
Organism: Daphnia magna
Lineage: Eukaryota; Metazoa; Arthropoda; Branchiopoda; Diplostraca; Daphniidae
Exons: 2
Source: RefSeq, a predicted model, not a curated record
CCUUUUCUCCCAGGCAUCUGAAGUAAACAAAAUAAGACGUACACGUCACCACAUGCCACAUAGAAUGAGCUCGAAGGAAAAACGCCGGGUAGAGGUCGUGGCAUAUCAAACGUCAUCAGUUUACUUUGAAGGUUAUGCCAUCAACCCGCAUGGCAGGGAUUUUUAAAAAGCUGUUGGACUUGAACCCUUUUGCAAUUUCGCUCUUGAGAAGUUCCUUAAGAGGAAUUGUCCCGCCCUUGUUAACAAUUUUUACGAAUCAAAUGGAAAGCAUUUUGCUUAAAUGGUGGCCAAAAUGCUGUGAUCGUGUAUGUUAAAAAAAAAGUUAAAAAUAGCUCGAAUAUACAUUAUUCGUCUUUGGGUGCAUAGACCUUCUUGCUUUCGUGAAGAAUUUUCUAGAAUGACUCCCCACACCGCCCUGACAUGUAAACCCUCUUCGUCAUCCAUCCACGUAAAAAGGAAAGAGAAAUGAAAUUGUGUCUUUCUUACCUCCAUCUGAGAAUCUCUCGUCAAGGAAGACUUCUGCCGCAACAACGCCGAUUAAGGCGAUUAAUAAUGUUAAAGCUUUCAUUUGUA